This 347-nucleotide ribosomal RNA is filed under the name uncultured bacterium. RNAcentral describes it as "partial 16S ribosomal RNA". It matches the Rfam family "Bacterial small subunit ribosomal RNA", at positions 338 to 699 of the family's 1533-position model. The record is from RNAcentral.
CCUACGGGAGGCAGCAGUGGGGAAUAUUGGGCAAUGGAGGCAACUCUGACCCAGCAACGCCGCGUGCAUGAUGAAGGUCUUCGGAUUGUUAAGUUCUGUGAUGGGGGAUGAAAACAAUGACGGUACCCCAAUAGCAAGCCAAGGCUAACUACGUGCAAGCAGCCGCGGUAAUACGUAGGUGGCAAGCGUUAUCCGGAAUGACUGGGCGUAAAGGGUGCGUAGGUGGUUUAGUAAGUUGGCGGUGUAAUUCCGAGGCUCAACCUCGGCGCUACCGCCAAAACUAUUAGGCUAGAGAGCAGGAGCGGUAAGUGGAAUGCCUAGUGUAGCGGUGGAAUGCGUAGAGAUUA